Molecule: ribosomal RNA, 338 nt
Filed under: Glutamicibacter arilaitensis
Lineage: Bacteria; Bacillati; Actinomycetota; Actinomycetes; Micrococcales; Micrococcaceae
Description: bacterial SSU rRNA
Rfam family: Bacterial small subunit ribosomal RNA
Source: RNAcentral
UCUUGGGCUUCACGCAUGCUACAAUGGCGGUACAAUGGGUUGCGAUACUGUGAGGUGGAGCUAAUCCCUAAAAGCCGGUCUCAGUUCGGAUUGGGGUCUGCAACUCGACCCCAUGAAGUCGGAGUCGCUAGUAAUCGCAGAUCAGCAACGCUGCGGUGAAUACGUUCCCGGGCCUUGUACACACCGCCCGUCAAGUCACGAAAGUUGGUAACACCCGAAGCCGAUGGCCUAACCACCUUGUGUGGGGGGAGUCGUCGAAGUGGGACUGGCGAUUGGGACUAAGUCGUAACAAGGUAGCCGUACCGGAAGGUGCGGCUGGAUCACCUCCUUUCUAAGGA